UAAAGAGGUAAUGAUACAUGCUAGUGUGUAAUUAGAAGCAAAAUGCAUACAUCACAUCAAGAAGUACUCCCUCCGUUCCAAAAUAAUUGUCUUUCUAGCCAUCUCAAAUGGACUACAACAUACGGAUGUAUGUAGACAUGCUUUAGAGUAUAGAUUCACUUAUUUUACUUCGUAUGUAGUGACUUGUUGAAAUCUCUAGAAAGACAAUUAUUUCGGAACGGAGGGAGUAGUACGCACGUGCACAUCACAAAGAGCAAGCAAGCAAGCUCAAAAGGAAAAAACGUGUUUAGCUGGUCGAACCCAACCCCGGCAGAAAUAUCAUUUCUUUUUUCUCCAACUAGUCAUCUUCCCCAGCUCUCUACCUCUCUCUCUCUCACUGUCACUGGUAUGCUCAGCCACGAACAGAACCAACUCCAUCUCUCUCUCCCUAACUACAGAGCAGGUCGCCGCCGGCUCGAUCUGCCACUUCCGGACAUCUCCGGCGACACCGUGGACACCCACAGAAUCCCCUCGACUCCCUCUACCAUAUCCCCCCAUUUAUUUGAUCCGCCGCCGCCAAAAUCGCCGCCACCCUCAAACCCCAGCGUCGUCUGCAUCGGGUCCGAUGGGUUCACCACGGGCCGCAGUAGCAAUGGCAUAUCCCUGCCUACAACCUCCUCCAGCAGAGCUGCACGCACGAGGCAUGCAACUACGGCCGUCGGGAGCGAGCAUCUUAACCGGCGCGGCUCCGGCAACAUGGCCGCUACCGGCGCCUGGCUCGCCUUUGUCUACUGCUACUAGUUAACUAGAGUCCAAAAGAUCAGGUGUUCAUGUUCUAAGCAAAGAUGAAGAUGGAUCAAGCAAACAAAGCUGCAAAAGCAAGGCACUUGAAUAGUACCUGAUGGCAACUCAGCAUCCGACCAAAAGAGUGGAUGGGGAUGGUGGGGAGAGCUUGGUUCUCUCUUGUGCGUGUUGUGUGCAGUAGAGGAAGUCAAAGGUGAAAGGAGGAGGCUGCUAUUUAUAGUAGUGUAGGGUGCUAGGUCGGUUUGGUAAAAGAGAGAUGUGGCUGACAUGCAUGGUUGCAUGAGCAUGCAAGCCUCCACAUGUAAUCAUGUGAGUUGUACAACGGACAAGUGUAUAGUGCAUGGUUCGACACGAGAUGGCAUAUAAUUUGUGUGUAAGGAAUGAGACAAGGGCCUAAUUAUAAAUCUGCAAACAAUAAGGGAGUUGGAGAAGAACCAUUGUACAUGGCUAAAUACUAACUUUUUUGGUUGCAAUAAAUUUUUGAUAUUA
Long non-coding RNA from Triticum aestivum (bread wheat), 1272 nucleotides. RefSeq lists it as uncharacterized. Lineage: Eukaryota; Viridiplantae; Streptophyta; Magnoliopsida; Poales; Poaceae. The transcript has 2 exons. The record is from RefSeq and is a predicted model, not a curated record.